Molecule: ribosomal RNA, 245 nt
Filed under: uncultured bacterium
Lineage: Bacteria
Description: partial 16S ribosomal RNA
Rfam family: Bacterial small subunit ribosomal RNA
Source: RNAcentral
UACGUAGGGGGCAAGCGUUGUCCGGAAUCAUUGGGCGUAAAGAGCGUGUAGGCGGCUUGGUAAGUCUGCUGUGAAAGUCCAGGGCUCAACCCUGGGAUGCCGGUGGAUACUGUCAAGCUCGAGUCCGGAAGAGGCGAGUGGAAUUCCUGGUGUAGCGGUGAAAUGCGCAGAUAUCAGGAGGAACACCGAUGGCGAAGGCAGCUCGCUGGGACGUGACUGACGCUGAGACGCGAAAGCGUGGGGAG